AACCAUUCUCACCUGCGGCUAGACCUGCGGAGGGAUCAUUAUCGAGUUGCAAAACUCCAACCCUUUGUGAACAUACCUCAGUCGUUGCUUCGGCGGUGGACGGCCUGUUUUUCGGAACGGCCGGAAGCCGCCGGAGGUUCCAAACUCGUAUUUUUUAGUGUAUCUCUGAGCCUGAAAACAAAUAAUCAAAACUUUUAGCAACGGAUCU
This 208-nucleotide unclassified non-coding RNA is filed under the name soil metagenome. RNAcentral's name for it is "partial contains 5.8S ribosomal RNA, internal transcribed spacer 2, and large subunit ribosomal RNA". The record is from RNAcentral.